CGCCUCCUCGCCACCUGGGCCCGAGACUCCCGGUGCUGGCGUGGCAGGGGUGCCCCCGCCGGGACGGGACAGCUGGGACCCGCGCAGCCGAGCCGGGGCAGCCACGUGGCGGCGGGGCGGGGACCGGGCGGGCCGGGCGCUGGGAGCUGGCUGUCCCAGGAGCAGAGCAGUCUCCCUGUCCAGAUCACCAGGAUCCCUGCUUGCUGGAGAAUGACCCAGAUGUCCCAGGUGCAGGAGCUCUUCCAUGAGGCAGCCCAGCAGUGUGCAGCACCUCCCAGGACCUCUUGCUCCUGCUCUGGUGACAUAAGAUGCCUGCCUCGCCUUUGCCUUCCACCAUGAUUGAAAGUUUCCUGAGGCCUCCCUGGAAGCAGAAGCUGCUAUGCUUCCCGUACAGCCUGUGGAACCAUAAGCCAAUUAAACCUCUUUUCUUUAUAAAUUA
This 439-nucleotide long non-coding RNA is filed under the name Homo sapiens (human). RNAcentral describes it as "non-protein coding lnc-SLC12A8-1:2". The record is from RNAcentral. Lineage: Eukaryota; Metazoa; Chordata; Mammalia; Primates; Hominidae.